ACGCUGGCGGCAGGCCUAAGACAUGCAAGUCGAGCGAGAAAGCCCUUCGGGGUGAGUACAGCGGCGGACGGGUGAGUAACGCGUAGGAAUCUACCCAGUAGUGGGGGACAACUAGUGGAAACGCUAGCUAAUACCGCAUACGCCCUAAGGGGGAAAGCGGGGGAUCUUCGGACCUCGUGCUAUUGGAUGAGCCUGCGUAAGAUUAGCUUGUUGGUGAGGUAAUGGCUCACCAAGGCGACGAUCUUUAGCUGGUCUGAGAGGAUGAUCAGCCACACCGGGACUGAGACACGGCCCGGACUCCUACGGGAGGCAGCAGUCGGGAAUAUUGCGCAAUGGGCGAAAGCCUGACGCAGCCAUGCCGCGUGUGUGAAGAAGGCCCUAGGGUUGUAAAGCACUUUCAAUUGGGAGGAAAAGCUAAUGGUUAAUAACCAUUAGCCCUGACGUUACCUUUAGAAGAAGCACCGGCUAACUCCGUGCCAGCAGCCGCGGUAAUACGGAGGGUGCAAGCGUUAAUCGGAAUUACUGGGCGUAAAGCGCGCGUAGGCGGUUUUUUAAGUCGGAUGUGAAAGCCCCGGGCUCAACCUGGGAACUGCAUCCGAUACUGGAUGACUANAAUGCGGGAGA
RNAcentral lists this ribosomal RNA (624 nucleotides) under uncultured bacterium. Its description in RNAcentral is "bacterial SSU rRNA". It matches the Rfam family "Bacterial small subunit ribosomal RNA", at positions 33 to 655 of the family's 1533-position model. The record is from RNAcentral.